GUGCUCGCUUCAGCAGUACAUAUACUAAAAUUGGAACGACACAGAGAAGAUUAGCAUGGCCCCUGCACAAGGAUGACACACAAAUUUGUGAAGCAUUCCGUAUUUCU
Small nuclear RNA from Otolemur garnettii (small-eared galago), 107 nucleotides. NCBI's taxonomy places the organism in Eukaryota, Metazoa, Chordata, Mammalia, Primates, Galagidae. The record is from Ensembl.